GCUGCGGCGGCGGCGGUGGUGGCGGCGGUGGGGUGGCGGGAGCGGAGCGGCAUGGCCACGGCGGCUUCUAACCCCUACCUGCCGGGGAACAGCCUGCUGGCGGCCGGCUCCAUUGUACACUCGGACGCGGCGGGAGCCGGCGGCGGUGGGGGCGGCGGCGGCGGGGGUGGCGGCGGCGGCGCGGGAGGCGGCGGGGGCGGCAUGCAGCCCGGCAGCGCCGCCGUGACCUCGGGCGCCUACCGAGGGGACCCGUCCUCCGUCAAGAUGGUCCAGAGCGACUUCAUGCAGGGGGCCAUGGCCGCCAGCAACGGCGGCCAUAUGCUAAGCCACGCGCAUCAGUGGGUCACAGCCCUGCCCCACGCCGCCGCCGCCGCCGCCGCCGCCGCCGCCGCCGCCGUGGAGGCGAGCUCGCCGUGGUCCGGCAGCGCCGUGGGCAUGGCCGGCAGCCCCCAGCAGCCGCCGCAGCCGCCGCCGCCGCCGCCGCCGCAGGGCCCCGACGUGAAGGGCGGCUCCGGACGCGACGAUCUGCACGCGGGCACAGCGCUGCACCACCGCGGGCCGCCACACCUCGGGCCCCCGCCGCCGCCCCCGCACCAGGGCCACCCGGGGGGCUGGGGGGCCGCCGCCGCCGCAGCCGCAGCCGCCGCCGCCGCCGCCGCCGCCGCACACCUCCCGUCCAUGGCCGGAGGCCAGCAGCCGCCGCCUCAGAGUCUGCUCUACUCGCAGCCCGGGGGCUUCACGGUGAACGGCAUGCUGAGCGCGCCCCCGGGUCCGGGCGGCGGCGGCGGCGGCGCGGGCGGCGGCGCCCAGAGCCUGGUGCACCCGGGGCUGGUGCGCGGGGACACGCCCGAGCUGGCCGAGCACCACCACCACCACCACCACCACGCGCACCCGCAUCCGCCUCACCCGCACCACGCGCAGGGGCCUCCGCACCACGGCGGCGGCGGCGCGGGGCCCGGACUCAACAGCCACGACCCGCACUCGGACGAGGACACGCCGACGUCGGACGACCUGGAGCAGUUCGCCAAGCAGUUCAAGCAGAGGCGCAUCAAACUCGGCUUCACGCAGGCCGACGUGGGGCUGGCGCUGGGCACGCUGUAUGGCAACGUGUUCUCGCAGACCACCAUCUGCCGCUUCGAGGCCCUGCAGCUGAGCUUCAAGAACAUGUGCAAGCUCAAGCCGCUGCUGAACAAGUGGCUGGAGGAGGCGGACUCGAGCACCGGCAGCCCCACAAGCAUCGACAAGAUCGCGGCGCAGGGCCGCAAGCGCAAGAAGCGGACCUCCAUCGAGGUGAGCGUCAAGGGCGCGCUCGAGAGCCACUUCCUCAAGUGCCCCAAGCCCUCCGCGCAGGAGAUCACCAACCUGGCCGACAGCCUGCAGCUCGAGAAGGAGGUGGUGCGGGUCUGGUUCUGCAACCGGCGCCAAAAGGAGAAGCGCAUGACGCCGCCCGGGAUCCAACAGCAGACGCCCGACGACGUCUACUCGCAGGUGGGCACCGUGAGCGCCGACACGCCGCCGCCGCACCACGGACUGCAGACGAGCGUGCAGUGAAGGCAAGGGGCGCAGCGCAAAGAGGGCCGCCGCCGCCGCCUCCGCAGCCGCUGUCAGCACCGCCACCAACCCCCGCCGCCGCCGCCGCCGCCGCCGCCGCCGCAGCCGCCGCAGCGCCAACCCCGCACUGGGGCCGCACCGGGCCCGAGCCGGUCCGCCGCCCUCCCCUCCGCCCAAAGACAAACAUGCCCGCCUUUGGAGGAAAAAGAGAGAGAGAGACGGACCAAGGAGACAUUUCUCAAGUCCAAGGAAGGAGGGGCAAAACAAAAGCGUAAUAAAUACCCAGACUGUUUUAUAUACAUAUAUAUAACAAACAAAACCGGAAGAGAAAAAGGAGGCGAUCAUGAGAUCUCGUUUAUACUGUGGUGGUGUUUCCUUUUUGUUUUUCUUUUUCUUUUUAAAGAAGGGUGAAGAUGCCUAGCGCACCAAAACUGCACUCGUGAGGUUUUUUUCCCACCCUAGGAAGUCCUACACGGCAACGGUGGACAGCACCUAGCACCUGCCUCGUCCUCUCCUCUUAAAAAAAAGAAAAAAAGGCAAAAAAAAAGCACCCCUCUCUCCUUUUCACUCACUCCCCCCUCCAAAGGGCUGCCUAAAGUGAUCUACCGAAACUUUCUUUCCUGGGAGCGACCUGAAAGAAAGCAGAGGCACCGGGUUUAAUCAGGGGUUGACUCUGUGCUCGGGGCCCUGUUUUUCUUGGCCAUGUUAAAGUCAUUUGGGGACAAAUUGACUAUGAAAUGGGAAGGAGAAAACAAAGAACAGUCUUCAGAAAUAAAGGAAAGGAAAUAUUCACAGCUUCUGAAAUUAACAGACUGAAUAGCAAAGCCAAAAAGAAAAAGUAUCCUCAAAGUAACCUUGGAAAUAAAGCAUCACGAAAGAGCGAGGGAUGGGCAAGGGAGAAGGGGAUGUCCUCCGAGGAGUGGGAGAGGCCCGGCCGAGUCCUGGGCAGGGCGGGCGGACUGGGCGCGGAGCGAGGCCCCGCCACCAACCCCGGCUUUAACGGCGGUCACUCGGGUGGAUGAGGCCUAAAGAUUCCACCGCUAAUAUUUUUUUUAUUAAUAUUUUUUAUUUUUUAUUUCUGGACUGACUCAGAUAAAGAGAUUUAGAAGGACUGAGCACCAGCUGAUGCACUUCUCUGGACUUCUCUCCUCAAUCCGUUGCCAACUUUGAUUGAAUGGGUGCUGUGGAUGUGAUUAUAUAAUACUGCCAUUUCCAAGCAGUGUUUUUGUGGGUGUUUUUAGGUGAGAUUGUCUAAAGACUAGUCCCUUUCUUGGAGAUGUCCUUUAUCAUCUUUCCCAGAAGAUUGGACUACAGCACCAGUAAAAAUGUGCCAACUGGUUAUUAAUGGUUAAUACAGAGCUCUUCCCCCACCCAAGUUUAGCCUCUCUUUUCCCUCCCGUCCCCCCAACCAUACUGCUAAGUUUCUUUCCUCUUUUUCUGAAGACUAAUAGUUCUAAAGAAAAGCUUACAAGUCUAUAAAAUAUUUUUAUAUUAAUUACUUCCCAUUAAUAACUAUAUGCAAUUCAGUUUAAAUUAUUAAGCUAUAUUGGUUUUUUGUUUUGUUUUGUUUGUUUUUCUUGUACUGGAAGAAUGUAGUUCUAAAAUCCUGACUAUGGGCCACACUGCAUUACCCUCAGUGUGAUUACCAGCUCAGACUUAAGAUUCCACGUUUCUAUGUUCCGGUCUUUCCCCAGUAUGAUUCUGUAUCUUCUUCACUGGUGCUGGGGCUUUGAGCUUUUUUUGAUCACUCUUUAGCUACACCCUGCAGAGCGGUCACAUUUAUCAAGUUAAUGUAUCAAUAUUUACAGUGUGGGAAAAUGAAAGUAUAAUGCCUCAGGUUGUGAGUACUAUAGACUCAAAGGCUCUGCUCAGUUGAGUCCCUUCGUAUUGUACUUAAAAAAAGUAUUUGGGAGUGAUAAAGCAAUGAUUUUAUGGAUUAAUUUCCUCUUAAUCUCAUUUGGCUGUCACUUUCUGCCUUCUCUCAUCUUCCUCUCUCUUCCUCUGAUAUCGAUGCAGGGGUUAAAAAACCCGGAAAACUGUGAGAGCAACAAGGAACAGUCAUUUCUUCCAGACAGACCCUGUGUCACUUUCAUAAAUCAAGCCCAGCCAGAUGGCCAUGUAUUGGGUUGCAUUAUUUUAAACACCAAAUCGUACUAAAAAUCACAAUCAUUUUGAUUUGUGAAAUCUGAAAAAGGCCAUAUUUAUUAAACAGAGAGAAGGGAAAAAAUGAAAACAAGAAACCACAAUUUACUUUUCUUUGCCUUCUUGUUUCCUAUUUCUCUUGCUAUUAUAAUCUCUCUGCCCAGCGAAUUUACAACCUGAGUGGGGGUCGGGGGUGGGGACAAACUUCAUCUUUUUUUGAGGGGCUAUGGGGGCAAGCAAAGAAGGCCUUAUGAGAAAGCUGAGGAUUGGGUGUGGUGGUUUUUAUAUGGUGGAUACUACUGGCAUGUGAGAUGAAAUCCUAUUUUCCCUACAGGAAUGGUAGUGGUUGAUUAGAGAGAGAAUUGGUCUAUUUAAAAUUUUAGGAGGUAUUUGCUUACUUGAUUUGGCUGACAACAAAAGAACUAACAUUAGAUUUCACACUGUUUUCUAUUAAAAAGCAACCUUUGCUGAUUACUUUGGAAGGAGCCCAGAUUUAAGGGUAGCAGAGUAACUUUUCACUGGAGAAGAUGAGAAAGAAAGCCCAUUUUAUUUCAUCAUUUUGCAUGUCUAAAAGUGAGCUCAUGCUUGCACUCCAUAUUUUUUUUUAAAUCAACCCUUUGAAUGUAUUUACAAAAUGAAAUUCAUGGUUGAAAAACAAAAGAGGGCAGCUAUAACUGAGAGGUUUUGUGCUAAGGCUUAUAUUGUUACACAUGUAAAUAAUGAAAAUAUUGUUAUAUAUCACCAGAUCUUUUUAAUGAAUUUGGUCAUUGUGUUCCUUUGCAGCGCAAGUGUCUUGUGCUUCGUAAAGUGCCCAUUUGUUUCCUCCAUUUCAAUCCACCCCCUCCUCCCCUUCCAACCCAAAGGAAAGUGACAAAGUUCUGUUCCAUCAAUCUGGCUAAUCCGGAGCUAGGCCCAUUUAUAGUUUGCAGUGUCCUGUGGCUCCUGAUCAGUUGUCCAAGCCUCUGUCACCUCAUUCACCCAACCAUCUUCCCCUGCAAGUCUGGGCGAUAAAUCAUUCAAGGUGUAUUUAAAAUAGUCACUUUUCUGUUGUUGCUCUGCCUUUUUUUUUUUUAACUACUUAGCCAAGGACUACUUCUUUGUUCCAAAAUAGAACUGUUCAUUAUUGAUCUUAGAGAUUCCCUCUGCUUCCCUGUAGCCUCCAGUGUUUGCUUAUUACCAUGCUCAUAAUCUGUUUUGUAUGAAUGGUUUUCAACAUUCAGAGAAUAAUUGGUUCUAAUAUUAAAUGCAGUAUAUACAAUUGAUAGUUUUAUCAAUAAGUGUAAUAUUUUAAAUAAUUUUAACAAUUAAAUUUGUUUUUUAAAUUAUAUAUUUGUAAAGUAUUUAUCCUGUUGGAAGCAACAAUAUAUUGUUGUAUUUAUUCGUUUAUUUUUGUAAUAAAUGAUCAACCUCUUCAAGCUAAAUCAAAAAUGACACUUUUAUAUAUUUAUACAAAAUGCAUUUUAAGAUAUGGGCAUAUUU
Molecule: RNA transcript, 5172 nt
Organism: Zalophus californianus (California sea lion)
Lineage: Eukaryota; Metazoa; Chordata; Mammalia; Carnivora; Otariidae
Gene: POU3F3
Gene name: POU class 3 homeobox 3
Exons: 2
Source: RefSeq, a predicted model, not a curated record